GAUAAACGCUGGCGGCGUGCCUUACGCAUGCAAGUCGAACGGGGUGCUUCGGCACUCAGUGGCGGACGGGUGAGGAGCACGUACGUGACCUGCCCGGGAGUGGGGGAUACCCGCCCGAAAGGGCGGCUAAUACCGCAUGGGCUCGCGCUCGGUGGGGCGUGAGCAAAGGACGCAAGUCCGCUCCUGGAGGGGCGUGCGGCCGAUUAGCUGGUUGGUGGGGUAACGGCCUACCAAGGCGAUGAUCGGUAGCUGGGCUGAGAGGCUGACCAGCCACACU
Molecule: ribosomal RNA, 277 nt
Filed under: uncultured bacterium
Lineage: Bacteria
Description: partial 16S ribosomal RNA
Rfam family: Bacterial small subunit ribosomal RNA
Source: RNAcentral